This 250-nucleotide ribosomal RNA is filed under the name uncultured bacterium. Its description in RNAcentral is "partial 16S ribosomal RNA". It matches the Rfam family "Bacterial small subunit ribosomal RNA", at positions 524 to 773 of the family's 1533-position model. The record is from RNAcentral.
GACGGAGGGUGCAAGCGUUGUUCGGAAUUACUGGGCGUAAAGGGCGCGUAGGCGGUUUGCUAAGUUCGGUGUGAAAGCCCCUGGCUCAACUGGGGAACGGCGCUGGAAACUGGCAGACUAGAGUACCGGAGAGGAGGGUGGAAUUCCUGGUGUAGCGGUGAAAUGCGUAGAUAUCAGGAGGAACACCGGUGGCGAAGGCGGCCCUCUGGACGGAUACUGACGCUGAGGCGCGAAAGCGUGGGGAUCAAAC